Molecule: ribosomal RNA, 498 nt
Filed under: uncultured bacterium
Lineage: Bacteria
Description: partial 16S ribosomal RNA
Rfam family: Bacterial small subunit ribosomal RNA
Source: RNAcentral
AUUGAACGCUGGCGGCAUGCCUUACACAUGCAAGUCGAACGGUAACGCGGGGCAACCUGGCGACGAGUGGCGAACGGGUGAGUAAUGCAUCGGAACGUGCCCGGUAGUGGGGGAUAACUGCUCGAAAGAGCAGCUAAUACCGCAUACGACCUGAGGGUGAAAGGGGGGGAUCGCAAGACCUCUCGCUAUCGGAGCGGCCGAUGUCGGAUUAGCUAGUUGGUGGGGUAAAAGCCCACCAAGGCAACGAUCCGUAGCUGGUCUGAGAGGACGACCAGCCACACUGGGACUGAGAACCGGCCCAGACUCCUACGGGAGGCAGCAGUGGGGAAUUUUGGAAAAUGGACGCAAGUCUGAUCCAGCCAUGCCGCGUGCGGGAAGAAGGCCUUCGGGUUGUAAACCGCUUUUGUCAGGGAAGAAAUCUUCUGAGUUAAUACCUCGGGAGGAUGACGGUACCUGAAGAAUAAGCACCGGCUAACUACGUGCCAGCAGCCGCCGUAA